RNAcentral lists this long non-coding RNA (253 nucleotides) under Setaria viridis. RNAcentral's name for it is "long non-coding RNA (SVIR_LNC007163)". The record is from RNAcentral. Lineage: Eukaryota; Viridiplantae; Streptophyta; Magnoliopsida; Poales; Poaceae.
CGUCGAGGAGCAUCUCGAUCGACACUGCGAUCUGGGAGUAGCGCUUCGAGAGUACACACAGUAUCUUCUUCACGAUGCGAGUGUCGCUGAUGGUUUCCCCAAGCCCGCGCAAAUUCUCAGCCAGCGUGGUGAUACGCAGGCUGAAAUCGUCCACGAGUUUGCCGUCCUUGAAGUAGAUGUUCUCAAACUCCUGCUGCAGGCGCUGUGCAUGGGCUUCCUUGAUGCGGGUAGCCCCUUCGCGCAUGCUUUUCAC